RNAcentral lists this ribosomal RNA (254 nucleotides) under uncultured bacterium. RNAcentral's name for it is "partial 16S ribosomal RNA". It matches the Rfam family "Bacterial small subunit ribosomal RNA", at positions 524 to 776 of the family's 1533-position model. The record is from RNAcentral.
UACGGGGGGAGCAAGCGUUGUUCGGAUUUACUGGGCGUAAAGGGCGCGUAGGCGGCCACCGCAAGUCGACUGUGAAAUCUCCGGGCUUAACCCGGAAAGGUCAGCCGAUACUGCGGGGCUAGAGUGCAGAAGGGGCAACUGGAAUUCUCGGUGUAGCGGUGAAAUGCGUAGAUAUCGAGAGGAACACCUGCGGCGAAGGCAGGUUGCUGGGCUGACACUGACGCUGAGGCGCGAAAGCGUGGGGAGCGAUCCGG